UACGUAGGGACCAAGCGUUGUUCGGAUUUACUGGGCGUAAAGGGCUCGUAGGCGGCCAACUAAGUCAGACGUGAAAUCCCUCGGCUUAACCGGGGAACUGCGUCUGAUACUGGAUGGCUUGAGGUUGGGAGAGGGAUGCGGAAUUCCAGGUGUAGCGGUGAAAUGCGUAGAUAUCUGGAGGAACACCGGUGGCGAAGGCGGCAUCCUGGACCAAUUCUGACGCUGAGUGAGCGAAAGCCAGGGGAGCAAACGGG
Molecule: ribosomal RNA, 254 nt
Filed under: uncultured bacterium
Lineage: Bacteria
Description: partial 16S ribosomal RNA
Rfam family: Bacterial small subunit ribosomal RNA
Source: RNAcentral